CUCUGAGACAGCUCCGAAAUCUUGUGAUUCGGAAGACGAGACAACAUUGUCAACAGUUCCAAGGUGACCCAAGUACGCGGAAAUACGGAGAAUAUCAAAGUGUCACAUACGCAGAAGAUUCAGAACUCAUAUCGACUCCAAAAAAAUUGAGGUUGCUUCAAGAGAUUGAAGGUGAAGUAGAAGAAAGUGGAAUAACUGUAGAAACUCCUCUUAUUGCCAGCAUACCGACGGCGGUGCAGCAGUGGACAGAUCACAGGAAAGAAGGACUACGAUUAUCUACGCCAGUUUGAACCACAGUCCUUCCACUUUUAAGACUUGAAUUGAAAACUUCAGAUUCUAUUGGAUUCGGGUGGAGUGAAUACUAGCCCGAAAUGAGAGAGAAAGAAAAAGAGGGGAAAAAAAGAACUCGAUAAAAAUGGCGACCAAACGAAGAAAAAGUCAAUCAGAUUGAAAAGCAGACGAGGGAUAAAACUAGAUACCUCUAAAGAAUGGCGGAUCAAUCGUACAGAUGGCACAGUUAGAUCUUCGAUAAUAGUUCCUUUGAUGGAGAAAGUUCCGACAGAUGGUCGCCAUGUUCCACUCAUUUAGCAAAAGGAAUCACAACAUUUCGCUUUUAUUUGCUUAGUAAUUUCAACAUCAGCUUUUGAAAUGCUUUACAGGCUGUUCUCAGAAAUAAAAGGGAAUCUUUUUUUUAUUAAAUAUAAUGAGAAAUCGAGACUGGUUUUAAUUUGCAUACCACACUUUGUGCAUAUUUUUAAGAAUAUUCAUUCACCUAAGCUUUUUGAAAUUUCAUUCUACUGCUACUCAACGGCGUUUCAGAUUGUUUGCAUCAAUAAAAUAUAAAUUACAGAUAUCAUACUUAUGAAAUUAAUGCUAAUGUUGUAAGCUGAAAAAAUACUCAUAGGAGCUAUCAUAACAGAAAGAUGCAUUCAGGUUUCCAAAAAAAAUGAAUUUAUCAAAAAUCUAACUUACGCAGACAUGUAUGUUAAAGUAUGAAUGUUUAAACGUUUGUUAAAAAUAAAUAAUACAGGAAGCUAAUUCGAAUAUUGCUUGCACUAAACUGUGAACAGUUCACUGAUGUGCGACAUAAUAUAUGAAAUGAAUUAGCAGUUAUUUGUCUGAUUAUCAAAAUUCUUUCGACAGCUAACAUAGUAAAUUGAUAUUUUUGCGUCUAUCCUAUCUUUCCUUUCAAUUUAAAAUGGUUAGGUUAUGAUUUUUUCAAAAAAAUAGCAUGAAAUAUUUCUUUAAUUGCAAUAUAUAUCGCAUUGGGCAAAAUGCAAUUAUUUAAAAUACUGAUGAGAAGAAUCUGAAUCAUAAAAGUUAACAGUUAUCACAUACGAAUAAUAUAUACCAAUGUUAAAAUGAUUUGUAAUCUUAAGUGAAAGAUUUAAAUCUGGGAUUAUACUAAAAAUUCUAUGUCAAAAACAUUUUUGAACAGUUCAGUGUUUUUCAUAAAAUUGUUAAAAGCAAUUCGGUCUAAAAAGCAAAUUAUACUCCAGUCUCGUAAAUAAAAUAUUUUCCAGCAACAGUAUUUGCUAUUCCUUAUCUUUAUUUUUGAUAAUUUAAUUGAAUAAUUUACUAGAACAUUUCCAAACUGUCAAAGGAGCAAACAUGAAUGUUGCCUACUUUUUUUAAGUGUGCUUGGAAGUAUUAUCUUUUUAUCAAUUUAACUUAUUAUUUCCCGACGCUGAAAAUUAACUUAAUUACUAGAAUCAUGAAAUUACAGCAUAAAAACAUUUUCGAAUUAACCAUAUUAAAAAGAUUUUCACGGAAUUCUUUCUUGAGAUAUUGCUUGGUGAAUUCUUAAUGACCCGCAAAGCCAAGCACACUAAAAAACAUUCAUUUUUUUAAAAACCUUUAAGUCGAGAUAAGACGUCAGCUUUCUUAUUUAUGGCACUCUAAGUUAAGUGAAAGUACUUUUUUCUACUUUUUUAAAGUAAAGCAAGCAUGCUACUCUUCUAGAAGUAUAAAAAUACAAAGAUUGCUUAGUAAUGAAUAUUUUAUAAUUUUUAUUUGCUGCUUAUAAAUAAGCACUCAAAAUUUCUCUGAAACGAAAUUAUAAUGAACUAACAUGUUAUGACUUAUUAUAAUUAGGUAUUUAGAAGUGCAAUUUUCCGAAUAAUAAUAAUAAUAAUCUAACUGUUCUUGGUUUGAAUGAUAUCAACUGCAAAAGCUACUUCUCAGCUAAAAGUUUUUAAGUACUUUGGCCUUGUGUUUGGCCUUUGUUUAAUAACUAGUAAGUUAAUUAAGCAAACGUAUUUAAUAUUAUUUAUUUUGAGAGUACGUAUUUGAAUUUAACCGCCUGUAUUUAUGUUACACAUCAAGAACACAUUAAAAAUAUUUUAGAGGAAAUCUGUUCCUGCGAUUCGAAUGGUAUUUCAAAUUACCAGUGCUCAAUGAUCUUAUACACUUAUUGGCUGGUGAUGAUUGAUGGGUAAGGUUUAACAUCGAAAUUUUGCAUCAGUAUAAUUUUCCGUAAACCUGACUAAUUUAAAACAGUUUUGUGAAUAAAAUAAUAUUCUCCAAAGGUUAUCACCUACAUCUUAUUCAGUUUCAAAAUAAAGAUUUCCUUCAAUUAAAGAUAAGUAAAAUACUAACUACUAAUAAAUUAGCAUAUUUUAAUUUAUUAAAACUUAAUUAUACAGAAAAGUAAAAGGCAGAUUUUCUUUAAAAUAGCAAAUGAGAUAUAGCAUUAUAAAUUGCUAUAAUAGUUCAUUAUUAUGCCAAAAGUAUUGUACACUUUUUCCUUAAAAUUCACAUUAAAUCAAGUGAAAUUAAACACAUUUUCAGAUCAGUAAUAUCAGUUGAAGAGCAUGAACCUCUUGUUUCUAGAGAAGAAAAGGGUAGAAGAGAUAUAAUGUAUCUGUCAGCCAUGUAAUAUAAAAACUCUCUUUUCAGCGAGUUUAAAUAUGUCCCCCCAAAAAAUACAUCUUACAGCCAAAGAAAGUACGUGAAAGACAAUAUAUCUUUACAGUCAAUGUAAACACAUUAAUACCGAAUUACGAGAUAAGGAAAAAAUAAAUAAAUUGUGUUAUCUACUGACUUAUAUAUAAUGAUCUCAGAAAAAAUAAGUUUAUAAUAAUAAACGCCGCUUCAAUGAAAUGUGAUAUAUGUUUGAACAAGUAAAUGUGUAACACUUUGUUUACGUGUUUUUCCUGUUUAAUGCAUUUGAAAGAAUGGUCUAUUGCAGUUUGCUAUUAUAACAAAAGUGUUUGGCAAGAACUGAUAUAUAUAUAUAUGAACUGUUUGAAAGAAACAGAUAUGUAUGCUGGCCGUUUCUACUGUCAUUAUUUAUGAUGUAUAUAAGAAAUUUAAUUACAAAUAAACCUGUUAUAAAUCACUGUGUUCUGCAUGUUUCUUAAAGAAAAAGGAUGAAUGCAGUUUUUUGGACUUUAAUAGUAUUACAA
Long non-coding RNA from Stegodyphus dumicola, 3407 nucleotides. Lineage: Eukaryota; Metazoa; Arthropoda; Arachnida; Araneae; Eresidae. The record is from RefSeq and is a predicted model, not a curated record.